This 351-nucleotide long non-coding RNA is filed under the name Homo sapiens (human). RNAcentral's name for it is "non-protein coding LINC00937:19". The record is from RNAcentral. Lineage: Eukaryota; Metazoa; Chordata; Mammalia; Primates; Hominidae.
CUUCCGCAAGUGUAGGCAGAGCCCCCGGAGCCAUGGCCAGCCCUUCCCGCAGCUCCGAAGCCACUGGCAAGCCCCGAGGCAGGGAUGGCCGGCCCAGGAGGGAGGAGGACGACGUCCCUCCCGAAGAGAAGAGGCUGCGGCUCUUGCUGGAGGGGGGAAGCGCACAGCCCCAGGACGGCGAGGACGGGGAGGACGCGCCGCGGCCGGGCAGGGUGGAGACCGGCACCCAGACAGGUGGCGACGGCAGAGGAGCAGCACGGGCAGCCCUCCUCGCCGUGGGCUGCAUCAGAGCCCCCCCUGCCCAGUCUUGGGGUUGCUCCCGGAUGCUGUCUGGGAGGCUUGGUCAUGGUG